AUUGAACGCUGGCGGCAUGCCUUACACAUGCAAGUCGAACGGCAGCGGGGGAGAAGCUUGCUUUUCCUGCCGGCGAGUGGCGAACGGAUGAGUAAUACAUCGGAACGUGCCCUGUAGUGGGGGAUAACUAGUCGAAAGAUUAGCUAAUACCGCAUACGACCUGAGGGUGAAAGUGGGGGACCGCAAGGCCUCAUGCUAUAGGAGCGGCCGAUGUCUGAUUAGCUAGUUGGUGGGGUAAAGGCCUACCAAGGCGACGAUCAGUAGCUGGUGUGGGGGGACGAUCAGCCACACUGGGACUGAGACACGGCCCAGACUCCUACGGGAGGCAGCAGUGGGGAAUUCUGGACAAUGGGCGAAAGCCUGAUCCAGCAAUGCCGCGUGUGUGAAGAAGGCCUUCGGGUUGUAAAGCACUUUUGUCCGGAAAGAAAUGGCUCUGGUUAAUACCUGGGGUCGAUGACGGUACCGGAAGAAUAAGGACCGGCUAACUACGUGCCAGCCGCCGCGGUAA
RNAcentral lists this ribosomal RNA (508 nucleotides) under uncultured bacterium. RNAcentral's name for it is "partial 16S ribosomal RNA". It matches the Rfam family "Bacterial small subunit ribosomal RNA", at positions 30 to 523 of the family's 1533-position model. The record is from RNAcentral.